This 1165-nucleotide long non-coding RNA is filed under the name Vombatus ursinus (common wombat). RNAcentral describes it as "lncRNA (ENSVURG00010005316.1)". The record is from RNAcentral. Lineage: Eukaryota; Metazoa; Chordata; Mammalia; Diprotodontia; Vombatidae.
AUUAGGCUUUGAAGGGGCCCCUAGGGAAAGGGGAGGCAGUGAAGAAAGGAGUUAGGGAGAAGGGCAGGGGAGGGGGAUGCGGGUUCCUUCCCUAGUCUCAAUGUUGUUCCGUUCAUUAACUAUGACCUGAGCAACCACCCACUUGGUGCAGAGCAAUGACUCCAGGAAUCUUGCACUCCUUCCCUUGGAUGCAGGAGGAGAGAAGAACGGUGCAGAAUGGCAUUCGGCCCACCGCUUUUCUCUCUCCCUGGCCACGUUUCUCCUGCUGUUACGGGCCUGGGCAGUGAGGAAUAAUAAUUGGCCAUUCCAUGGAGCAUGCACCCCGAGUCCAAGUCUCCAUUUAAGGUUUCCUUCCUGUAAACCAACAUGGCAUCUCCUCUAAAAAUCCCCCAGCUGGAAAUUUUUGGCUUUGAGAAGUCUUAAGCUCUGGACCCUGCAUGAACAGGAUGAACCAGCAGGGGCCUUGAAUGAGAAGAGUGCCUCUGAGCCUAGAGUGGGGAAUCAGUAGUGUUCCACCCCAUGUCUGGCACCAGUCUCUCAGGCCUUGGUUUACCCUUGGCUUCCUGGAUCAAGGCUGGGCUUAAGGAGAGAUGACAUUUUGGCUGCUCACCAGGACAGGGAAUUCAUCAAUGUGGGUUUCCUGAGGUUCUUGGAAAGAUAAAUAAAGACUACAGUGGAGCACCACCUUGUGCCACAUGGCACAAAAAUCACAUACUCUACUACCUCCCAGAACUGAAUGUUGGAGCAGAAAACUUAGAAGCCCUUGGCAAAUACUUUGGCAGCUUUUCUUCCAACAAGUGGCUCAUCUCAGCCCAUCAGUGAAUCCUAUUUGGAAAUUUCUAUGCAGGCCAAAGCCUAUACCCUGGAAGGCUCGUUUCUCCUUUGCCUCAUUAUUUUUUCUUAUGUUUUCCUUUCCUGUGGGUUUCUGUACCUCUUCAGCAACUAGUAAAGGUGACCUGGUUGCCUGCUCUUAGAAGAUAAAUAUUUCCUGUGAUGCAAUGGAAGUGCUCUGGAUUUGUGGUCAGAGGACCUGAGCUUAAAUCUGAGCUCUCUUACUUAAAAUCUACGAGACUGCUGGUCAGUCAUUUCACUUUUUUUGUCCUCAGUGUCUUCAUCUGUAAAAAUUAAAAAUAAAAAUGAGGGAAUUCAACUUAGAUGAUCCUUA